This 400-nucleotide ribosomal RNA is filed under the name uncultured bacterium. RNAcentral's name for it is "bacterial SSU rRNA". It matches the Rfam family "Bacterial small subunit ribosomal RNA", at positions 355 to 769 of the family's 1533-position model. The record is from RNAcentral.
UCGAGAAUCUUCCGCAAUGGACGAAAGUCUGACGGAGCGAUACCGCGUGAAGGAUGAAGUGCCUCGGCACGUAAACUUCUUUUGUCAGGGACGAAAUUAUUGACGGUACCUGAAGAAUAAGGGGCUCCUAACUCUGUGCCAGCAGGAGCGGUAAUACAGAGGCCCCAAGCAUUAUCCGGAAUCACUGGGCGUAAAGGGUGUCGAGGCGGUCGUAUUAGUCGUUCGUAAAAUCCGUGGGCUCAACCUACGGCGCGCGAGCGAAACGGUACGACUUGAGGUUGGGAGAGGUGCGUGGAACUCACGGUGUAGGGGUGAAAUCCGUUGAUAUCGUGGGGAACACCAAAGGCGAAGGCAGCGCACUGGCCCAAAUCUGACGCUCACACACGAAAGCUAGGGUAGC